GUUAUGUCAUGUUAUCGAUAUGUGAAUACAUAGCAUAUCAGAAGGCACACCCGGAGAACUGAAACAUCUUAGUACCCGGAGGAAGAGAAAGAAAAUUCGAUUCCCUUAGUAGCGGCGAGCGAAACGGGAAGAGCCCAAACCAACAAGCUUGCUUGUUGGGGUUGUAGGACACUCUAUACGGAGUUACAAAGGACGACAUUAGACGAAUCAUCUGGAAAGAUGAAUCAAAGAAGGUAAUAAUCCUGUAGUCGAAAAUGUUGUCUCUCUUGAGUGGAUCCUGAGUACGACGGAGCACGUGAAAUUCCGUCGGAAUCUGGGAGGACCAUCUCCUAAGGCUAAAUACUCUCUAGUGACCGAUAGUGAACCAGUACCGUGAGGGAAAGGUGAAAAGCACCCCGGAAGGGGAGUGAAAUAGAACCUGAAACCGUGUGCUUACAAGUAGUCAGAGCCCGUUAAUGGGUGAUGGCGUGCCUUUUGUAGAAUGAACCGGCGAGUUACGAUUUGAUGCAAGGUUAAGCAGUAAAUGUGGAGCCGUAGCGAAAGCGAGUCUGAAUAGGGCGUUUAGUAUUUGGUCGUAGACCCGAAACCAGGUGAUCUACCCUUGGUCAGGUUGAAGUUCAGGUAACACUGAAUGGAGGACCGAACCGACUUACGUUGAAAAGUGAGCGGAUGAACUGAGGGUAGCGGAGAAAUUCCAAUCGAACCUGGAGAUAGCUGGUUCUCUCCGAAAUAGCUUUAGGGCUAGCCUCAAGUGAUGAUUAUUGGAGGUAGAGCACUGUUUGGACGAGGGGCCCCUCUCGGGUUACCGAAUUCAGACAAACUCCGAAUGCCAAUUAAUUUAACUUGGGAGUCAGAACAUGGGUGAUAAGGUCCRUGUUCGAAAGGGAAACAGCCCAGACCACCAGCUAAGGUCCCAAAAUAUAUGUUAAGUGGAAAAGGAUGUGGCGUUGCCCAGACAACUAGGAUGUUGGCUUAGAAGCAGCCAUCAUUUAAAGAGUGCGUAAUAGCUCACUAGUCGAGUGACACUGCGCCGAAAAUGUACCGGGGCUAAACAUAUUACCGAAGCUGUGGAUUGUCCUUUGGACAAUGGUAGGAGAGCGUUCUAAGGGCGUUGAAGCAUGAUCGUAAGGACAUGUGGAGCGCUUAGAAGUGAGAAUGCCGGUGUGAGUAGCGAAAGAYGGGUGAGAAUCCCGUCCACCGAUUGACUAAGGUUUCCAGAGGAAGGCUCGUCCGCUCUGGGUUAGUCGGGUCCUAAGCUGAGGCCGACAGGCGUAGGCGAUGGAUAACAGGUUGAUAUUCCUGUACCACCUAUAAUCGUUUUAAUCGAUGGGGGGACGCAGUAGGAUAGGCGAAGCGUGCGAUUGGAUUGCACGUCUAAGCAGUAAGGCUGAGUAUUAGGCAAAUCCGGUACUCGUUAAGGCUGAGCUGUGAUGGGGAGAAGACAUUGUGUCUUCGAGUCGUUGAUUUCACACUGCCGAGAAAAGCCUCUAGAUAGAAAAUAGGUGCCCGUACCGCAAACCGACACAGGUAGUCAAGAUGAGAAUUCUAAGGUGAGCGAGCGAACUCUCGUUAAGGAACUCGGCAAAAUGACCCCGUAACUUCGGGAGAAGGGGUGCUCUUUAGGGUUAACGCCCAGAAGAGCCGCAGUGAAUAGGCCCAAGCGACUGUUUAUCAAAAACACAGGUCUCUGCUAAACCGUAAGGUGAUGUAUAGGGGCUGACGCCUGCCCGGUGCUGGAAGGUUAAGAGGAGUGGUUAGCUUCUGCGAAGCUACGAAUCGAAGCCCCAGUAAACGGCGGCCGUAACUAUAACGGUCCUAAGGUAGCGAAAUUCCUUGUCGGGUAAGUUCCGACCCGCACGAAAGGCGUAACGAUUUGGGCACUGUCUCAACGAGAGACUCGGUGAAAUCAUAGUACCUGUGAAGAUGCAGGUUACCCGCGACAGGACGGAAAGACCCCGUGGAGCUUUACUGUAGCCUGAUAUUGAAAUUCGGCACAGCUUGUACAGGAUAGGUAGGAGCCUUUGAAACGUGAGCGCUAGCUUACGUGGAGGCGCUGGUGGGAUACUACCCUAGCUGUGUUGGCUUUCUAACCCGCACCACUUAUCGUGGUGGGAGACAGUGUCAGGCGGGCAGUUUGACUGGGGCGGUCGCCUCCUAAAAGGUAACGGAGGCGCUCAAAGGUUYCCUCAGAAUGGUUGGAAAUCAUUCAUAGAGUGUAAAGGCAUAAGGGAGCUUGACUGCGAGACCUACAAGUCGAGCAGGGUCGAAAGACGGACUUAGUGAUCCGGUGGUUCCGCAUGGAAGGGCCAUCGCUCAACGGAUAAAAGCUACCCCGGGGAUAACAGGCUUAUCUCCCCCAAGAGUUCACAUCGACGGGGAGGUUUGGCACCUCGAUGUCGGCUCAUCGCAUCCUGGGGCUGUAGUCGGUCCCAAGGGUUGGGCUGUUCGCCCAUUAAAGCGGUACGCGAGCUGGGUUCAGAACGUCGUGAGACAGUUCGGUCCCUAUCCGUCGUGGGCGUAGGAAAUUUGAGAGGAGCUGUCCUUAGUACGAGAGGACCGGGAUGGACAYACCUCUGGUGUACCAGUUGUCGUGCCAACGGCAUAGCUGGGUAGCUAUGUGUGGACGGGAUAAGUGCUGAAAGCAUCUAAGCAUGAAGCCCCCCUCAAGAUGAGAUUUCCCAACUUCGGUUAU
This 2692-nucleotide ribosomal RNA is filed under the name Staphylococcus aureus. RNAcentral describes it as "bacterial LSU rRNA". The record is from RNAcentral. Lineage: Bacteria; Bacillati; Bacillota; Bacilli; Caryophanales; Staphylococcaceae.